UCGAUUGCUGGGCUCGGGAUGAAUGAUUCGCGCACGGGUGAGUAACGCGUAGGUAACCUACCUUUAAGCGGGGGAUAACUAUUGGAAACGAUAGCUAAUACCGCAUAAAAGGAGCUAACCCAUGUUAGCUUUUUAAAAGGUGCAACAGCAUCACUUAAAGAUGGACCUGCGUUGUAUUAGCUAGUUGGUAAGGUAACGGCUUACCAAGGCUUCGAUACAUAGCCGACCUGAGAGGGUGAUCGGCCACACUGGGACUGAGACACGGCCCAGACUCCUACGGGAGGCAGCAGUAGGGAAUCUUCGGCAAUGGGGGGAACCCUGACCGAGCAACGCCGCGUGAGUGAAGAAGGUUUUCGGAUCGUAAAGCUCUGUUAUAAGCGAAGAAUAGGAGUAAGAGUGGAAAGUUUACUCUAUGACGGUAGCUUAUCAGAAAGGGACGGCUAACUACGUGCCAGCAGCCGCGGUAAUACGUAGGUCCCGAGCGUUGUCCGGAUUUAUUGGGCGUAAAGCGAGCGCAGGUGGUUUAAUAAGUCUGAAGUUAAAGGCAGUGGCUCAACCAUUGUACGCUUUGGAAACUGUUAAACUUGAGUGCAGAAGGGGAGAGUGGAAUUCCAUGUGGUA
RNAcentral lists this ribosomal RNA (621 nucleotides) under Streptococcus thoraltensis. RNAcentral's name for it is "bacterial SSU rRNA". It matches the Rfam family "Bacterial small subunit ribosomal RNA", at positions 70 to 678 of the family's 1533-position model. The record is from RNAcentral. Lineage: Bacteria; Bacillati; Bacillota; Bacilli; Lactobacillales; Streptococcaceae.